CAUGAUUUCCAGGGUGGAGCUAUCUCUGAGGGUCUUUCUACCAGACUAUGGGUGAGGAAACUGAGGCCCAGAUGGGUUGGAUCCUCCAGUGGAUGAAACACAGGCAGUACCGAAGGGUUGUACCAAACUUGCUGAGAAGCUUGCAUGCUUCGAUGAAGAAGCUGCCAUGUUGGAAAGGCCCACACAGCAAGGAAGUGAGGGUGGUCUUCAGCCAACAGCCAGCAAGGAACUGAGGCUCUCAGUCCAACAACCCAGAGGAACUGAAUCCUGCCAACAACCACAUGCGCUUGGAAGCAGAUCCUUUCCCAGUUGAUCCUUGAGAUACUGAAAGCCCAGCCAACACCUUGAUUGCAGCCUGUGAGUGACCUUGAAG
Long non-coding RNA from Eubalaena glacialis (North Atlantic right whale), 373 nucleotides. RefSeq lists it as uncharacterized. The transcript is spliced from 3 exons. NCBI's taxonomy places the organism in Eukaryota, Metazoa, Chordata, Mammalia, Artiodactyla, Balaenidae. The record is from RefSeq and is a predicted model, not a curated record.